UUAAAGCAGAGAUAUUCAAAAAGUAAACAUGCUCCCUUUUUAGUUGAAUGCUACUGCACCAGUUGUGCCACUUCAAUAACUUUGCCAUAUGAAUGUCAAAAAAUCAAUUGCAGGGGCCAAAUUGUUCCACCCAAUUGGCUUAACAAGUUUAAAAAUAACAAUCAAGUUCAGAAUUCCCACAAGUUGGAAGAGACAAAAUAGGUCAGUGCACCACCACCACAAAGGCCGCUGGUGCCAUUGUUAUGAAAACAUGGAUGAUCAUCGAUAUUUUGUCAUUGGAACUCUUGGGAACACCAGAGCAGAAAAAUUGACGCAAAAGGGACAUUCACAAAAGGACAUUAGGAAAAUUAUUGAAAUUGUACAUGGAUAAAAUAACUGAAAAGCACCAGAGCUUCAAGUUAUUUAUGAAAUUGAUUGCCAUCAAAAUCUCUAGAGCAAUCGACUAGAAAAGGAAAUAUUUUGCACAAGCUAACUUUAUGACAAAGACGACAACCCUGUUACCAGGCGAAAUUUUCCAAUAAAAACGAUUGUCAGAAUUUAAUUUUAUUGAAGCACAAAAAUAGCUGAUUAAUAUUCUCAGCAAACAAGAA
RNAcentral lists this unclassified non-coding RNA (590 nucleotides) under Hevea brasiliensis (rubber tree). The record is from RNAcentral. Lineage: Eukaryota; Viridiplantae; Streptophyta; Magnoliopsida; Malpighiales; Euphorbiaceae.